GUGGGUGUAGCCCAGUUGGCUAGAGCGCCGGGUUGUGGUCCCGGAGGUCCAGGGUUCGAGUCCCUGUACCCACCCCA
RNAcentral lists this transfer RNA (77 nucleotides) under [Collinsella] massiliensis. RNAcentral's name for it is "tRNA-His". It matches the Rfam family "tRNA". Rfam says of the family: Transfer RNA (tRNA) molecules are approximately 80 nucleotides in length. Their secondary structure includes four short double-helical elements and three loops (D, anti-codon, and T loops). Further hydrogen bonds mediate the characteristic L-shaped molecular structure. tRNAs have two regions of fundamental functional importance: the anti-codon, which is responsible for specific mRNA codon recognition, and the 3' end, to which the tRNAs corresponding amino acid is attached (by aminoacyl-tRNA synthetases). tRNAs cope with the degeneracy of the genetic code in two manners: having more than one tRNA (with a specific anti-codon) for a particular amino acid; and 'wobble' base-pairing, i.e. permitting non-standard base-pairing at the 3rd anti-codon position. The record is from RNAcentral. Lineage: Bacteria; Bacillati; Actinomycetota; Coriobacteriia; Coriobacteriales; Coriobacteriaceae. RNAcentral also lists the same sequence under 5 other names.